Molecule: non-coding RNA, 86 nt
Filed under: Veillonellaceae bacterium DNF00626
Lineage: Bacteria; Bacillati; Bacillota; Negativicutes; Veillonellales; Veillonellaceae
Also listed under: 1 other name
Description: Glycine riboswitch aptamer
Rfam family: Glycine riboswitch aptamer
About the family: This family represents the bacterial glycine riboswitch. Glycine riboswitches usually consist of two metabolite-binding aptamers domains with similar structures in tandem.
Source: Rfam by way of RNAcentral
GGACAGAACUCCGGAGAGAGUCGAAAGACCGCCGAAGGGGCAAGGGGUGACCCGAAUCUCUCAGGCAAAAGGACGGAGCCGGUGAU